Molecule: long non-coding RNA, 838 nt
Organism: Zophobas morio
Lineage: Eukaryota; Metazoa; Arthropoda; Insecta; Coleoptera; Tenebrionidae
Exons: 6
Source: RefSeq, a predicted model, not a curated record
UAAGAUUAUGUUUGUGCUGCUUGGGACGGUCUACUUUUUUAAAUGUAUUUACAUCGAAAAGCUAUUUGGUCCUUGAGAUUUUUUUUCGAACUAGGCUUUUUGGAUGUGGUUUUUAAACAAGUUUUUUAGAAAAAAAUUUGUUUGCUCUUUUAUUUUAAAAAACGAAGUAAAUAUGUCCUGGCGGUGGUAAUGGUAAGUUUUGAAAGUAGCACGCUCGAAUUUAUAAGAUACAGAUUCUCGUAGUAAAGAACCUGCUUUUAUUUACUUUGUUAGGAAAAUUAUAAGUUACUGAGCUUUAUAGUCUUUUAUUGUCUUUCACCUAGUAAGUUUUUUCUAAAUAAAAGUUUAUAAUUCACUUAAACAAAGUAAAAAAGUAUUGGCAAUAACUAUUUUAUACUCUGAAUUUAUGGCCGAAGCCUAUAACAAAGCAUGUUUCGCGGAUUGAAGUAGAUAACAUUUAUAAUUAACAUACUUCUGCAUUGCUUCUCCCUUGGGAAGUCCUUUUUGAGAAUUCCAUGCCUCCCACUUGGCCUUUGCUUCAAACUGAAUUAAUUAAAUGGAGUUAUGUACCAGUUAAAUACUUGUAUAGCUUUUACCUGAAAUGCGUAAGGUUUAGGUUGUGUGUUGUCACCCUGAGUUGCCUGCUUGUACAACCCAUAAUACAAAAGUUUUUCUUCCGGAGUAACUUCUUUAACUGGAGAAUCACGAACAAACUGAACAGCCUCCUUAAACUUUUCUUCAAUCGACAUUGAAUUUAAACAAAAAAACUAAGUUUUUUGCCCACACCACAGGUGGAUUGUUAUACAUGCGAGACCCGGAUGGUUUUUUUAUUCAUCGC